GUGACCACCCCGCGACCUUCUUCUUACACCGACCGCAUUCCAGGUACUCAGUGGCCAUGAGAUACCAGCGGUCGAUGUCCAAGACCCUCCGGAUGGUCUUGUAGAGCCCAGCCUUGCAGAGUGUGCCUCUGCACCCAGACUGGGGGCGUGCCAGCUUGCAUGCCCAUAUACGUACGGGCAUCCAAAGGAACAGCUGACAUGCGAAGAAGGGGUCGGGGGAUGCGGGUGGCUGAUUGUAGAUCGGCCGCGGUUGGGGAGGCGUCCACCACGUGACCAGGUCGGUGGCGAGUGUCGACCUCCCAAAGCUGUUCCUGGUGAACAGCGUGCGGCCGAUCCACCGCUGCUGCUCCUUGGUGAGAGAUGAACGCCAACUCUCUGGGAGCAGCAGCUGAGUGAGAGGAGAGAGUGAUGGGGCGGGGAGAAGGGAUGGUAAUCAAAUUGGUGUCCAAUUUGGCAUAGUGUUUAAUAUCUUAACAAUGUGGAGUAAUUACAGUUGAUGAAUUUACCUCAGCACUUUCUGAGGAGGGCCUUGGAGGCAGGAAGGACUGCCGGGGCAAAUCCUCCUCUUCGCUCUGGGCAUGGACCGGGGCAUGGACCAGGGCAUGGACCAGGGCAGGAACCGGGGCAUGGACCGGGGCAUGGACCAGGGCAGGAACCGGGACCUGUGAAGUUAGAGGCAGAGGCCGAGGGAGCGAUCGGGGGACCUGUGGGGCUACGGCUUUUGCAGUGACACAGAAAUAAAUAGGUUAAAUGAAUGAAUUAAUAAAUAAAAUAAAUGCAAGCAUGAAUGGACAGACAUAUUACAAAUGAAGAUAACAGUGAUUCAGUUAAUAGUUCAUACAUGCAGUGACUCUUCUCUAAACCCAGAUGACUCUUACCAAUACAUUUCCUUGGGCUGACGAUAGCGACAAAUUUAACACACUUUAAUAUGUCAAGAAAAUUUAACUGAAUACUUAUCAAAACGUAUCGAAUUUCCUGUCAAUUAAUAGUGACGUAAAAACAUACAUGUGUCUAUGUCAGCAGCAGCUUUGACCAGCUCUGCGUCCGAUUGAUCUGUUGGUGGCAGUGCUGGUCGAGGGAAAGACACCCCUAUUUCUUCAUCUUCGCCUGCAGUUCACCUGGGCGAGAGAGCGCCUUGAAAGGAAUGCAGAGAUCGCAGGACCAAGAA
Molecule: long non-coding RNA, 1168 nt
Filed under: Salmo salar (Atlantic salmon)
Lineage: Eukaryota; Metazoa; Chordata; Actinopteri; Salmoniformes; Salmonidae
Description: lncRNA (ENSSSAG00000090819.1)
Source: RNAcentral